CUCAUUGUGUAGAAUGAGAUUACGUAAAAAGAAUGGAGUGUCCCUGGUACAGUAUAUCUUGAUGAUCAGCGGGUUAAUGCUAGUAGGGAAAUGUAUGUGGAAACAUUGAAAGGACCAGAGAAGAAGUAUGAUGGACAGAUACAGGUGUAUGUUAUAAGAUAGUAUCCAUCACAAUGUUCAGUUGAUCCAAUAGAAGAAAUUAUAGAUACGUGUAGUUCUAAGAAUGUUAUUAAAAAGCUGUCAGAGUUUAGUGGAAUUCCUAUGGAGUACAUCUAUCAUACAGAGGGAAUGUUAUUUCCAGUUGAGAUAUCAUGUCUUGAUAUUGAGAAAAGUUGAAAUGGUAUUCCAUCACUUCAGACAGAUCUUCAUUAAGACUAUUUGGUGAUGGAUAUGUCAUAUAUUACAAAGACAAUAGAGAGACAAUAGAAGUGUUAACAGAUCUUUAAGGAGAGAUCAAAAAUACAAGAGGCAGAGAAAGCAAGGCUGAAGAGGAUUAGAGAAUGUGAAUCA
Molecule: long non-coding RNA, 510 nt
Organism: Amphimedon queenslandica
Lineage: Eukaryota; Metazoa; Porifera; Demospongiae; Haplosclerida; Niphatidae
Exons: 6
Source: RefSeq, a predicted model, not a curated record